Molecule: ribosomal RNA, 368 nt
Filed under: uncultured organism
Description: bacterial SSU rRNA
Rfam family: Bacterial small subunit ribosomal RNA
Source: RNAcentral
CGGAGGGUGCAAGCGUUAUCCGGAUUCACUGGGUUUAAAGGGUGCGUAGGUGGAUUGGUAAGUCCGUGGUGAAAUCCCCGAGCUUAACUCGGGAACUGCCGUGGAUACUAUCAAUCUUGAAUACUGUGGAGGUAAGCGGAAUAUGUCAUGUAGCGGUGAAAUGCUUAGAUAUGACAUAGAACACCGAUAGCGAAGGCAGCUUGCUACACAGUCAUUGACACUGAGGCACGAAAGCGUGGGGAGCAAACAGGAUUAGAUACCCUGGUAGUCCACGCCCUAAACGAUGAUUACUCGACAUACGCGAUACACUGUGUGUGUCUGAGCGAAAGCAUUAAGUAAUCCACCUGGGAAGUACGACCGCAAGGUUG